GUUGAGCGGAGAUACAUGGAGCUUGCUUUAUAUAACUUAGCAGCGAACGGGUGAGUAACACGUAGAUAAUCUAUCCUAUACUGGGGGAUAGCCCGAUGAAAGUUGGAUUAAUACCGCAUAUAGCUAUAUAGUUGCAUGAUUAUGUAGUGAAAGAUUUAUUGGUAUAGGAGGAGUCUGCGGCACAUUAGCUAGUAGGUGAGGUAAAGGCUUACCUAGGCGACGAUGUGUAGCCGGUCUGAGAGGAUGAACGGCCACAAUGGAACUGAGACACGGUCCAUACUCCUACGGGAGGCAGCAGUGGGGAAUAUUGCACAAUGGGGGAAACCCUGAUGCAGCAACGCCGCGUGAGUGAAGAAGGUUUUCGGAUUGUAAAGCUCUGUUAGCAGGGAAGAGGAAGGACGGUAUCUGCAGAGGAAGCCACGGCUAACUACGUGCCAGCAGCCGCGGUAAUACGUAGGUGGCAAGCGUUGUUCGGAAUAACUGGGCGUAAAGGAUGCGUAGGCGGUUAAACAAGUUAUAUGUUAAAUAUAUAGGCUUAACCUGUAGAAAGCAUAUAAAACUGUUUAACUAGAGUGCAGGAGAGGUAAGUGGAAUUCCUAGUGUAGCGGUGAAAUGCGUAGAGAUUAGGAAGAACACCAGUGGCGAAGGCGACUUACUGGACUGUAACUGACGCUGAGGCAUGAGAGCAUGGGGAGCAAACAGGAUUAGAUACCCUGGUAGUCCAUGCUGUAAACGAUGGGUACUAGGUGUGGGUUGUGAAUAACAAUUCGUGCCGUCGCAAACGCAAUAAGUACCCCGCCUGA
Molecule: ribosomal RNA, 803 nt
Filed under: uncultured bacterium
Lineage: Bacteria
Description: bacterial SSU rRNA
Rfam family: Bacterial small subunit ribosomal RNA
Source: RNAcentral